UGCGAAGGGGGCUAGCGUUGCUCGGAAUUACUGGGCGUAAAGCGCACGUAGGCGGCUUCUUAAGUCGGUGGUGAAAUCCUGGAGCUCAACUCCAGAACUGCCUUCGAUACUGGGAAGCUCGAGUCCGGGAGAGGUGAGUGGAACUGCGAGUGUAGAGGUGAAAUUCGUAGAUAUUCGCAAGAACACCAGUGGCGAAGGCGGCUCACUGGCCCGAUACUGACGCUGAGGCACGAAAGCGUGGGGAGCAAACAGG
This 253-nucleotide ribosomal RNA is filed under the name uncultured bacterium. Its description in RNAcentral is "partial 16S ribosomal RNA". It matches the Rfam family "Bacterial small subunit ribosomal RNA", at positions 524 to 776 of the family's 1533-position model. The record is from RNAcentral.